RNAcentral lists this transfer RNA (72 nucleotides) under archaeon. RNAcentral's name for it is "tRNA-Asp". It matches the Rfam family "tRNA". From Rfam's summary of the family: Transfer RNA (tRNA) molecules are approximately 80 nucleotides in length. Their secondary structure includes four short double-helical elements and three loops (D, anti-codon, and T loops). The record is from RNAcentral.
GCCCUAAUAGUAUAGUGGCUAGUACACAUCCCUGUCACGGAUGAAACCCGAGUUCAAUUCUCGGUUGGGGCG